UUGAAAGGGAAACGAUUGAAGUCAUUCGUACCGACGAGAAGUCAACUUUCUGAGGGGUGACUUUUGGGGGGGUGUGAGGUGUCAAAGACCUCGCUGCUUGCAAGUUUGUGCUUUUUGGGUGUACUUUUUCGUAUGGUAGGCCAACGUCAGUUUUGAUCGUCAUAAAAUGAUCGGAGGAAUGUAGCUUUGAUCUCGUAUUGAAGUGUUAUAGCCUUUGGUAGAUGUGGUGAUCGAUACUGAGGAUUGCAACGAAUACCCUUUGGGCCAUCCGUUUGAACUCUGGAAGGUGCCUCGGGGCCCAAAACUUGCCUAUGGUAUUUAAAACGCCGGGCAAAAUGUGUGAGCGCGGGUUCAUUCGUUAAGGAUGUUGACGUA
RNAcentral lists this ribosomal RNA (375 nucleotides) under uncultured Glomeromycotina. RNAcentral's name for it is "LSU rRNA". The record is from RNAcentral. Lineage: Eukaryota; Fungi; Glomeromycota.